This 201-nucleotide ribosomal RNA is filed under the name uncultured Staphylococcus sp. RNAcentral describes it as "partial 16S ribosomal RNA". It matches the Rfam family "Bacterial small subunit ribosomal RNA", at positions 139 to 334 of the family's 1533-position model. The record is from RNAcentral. Lineage: Bacteria; Bacillati; Bacillota; Bacilli; Caryophanales; Staphylococcaceae.
GUGGAUAACUUCGGGAAACCGGAGCUAAUACCGGAUAAUAUAUUGAACCGCAUGGUUCAAUAGUGAAAGACGGUUUUGCUGUCACUUAUAGAUGGAUCCGCGCCGCAUUAGCUAGUUGGUAAGGUAACGGCUUACCAAGGCGACGAUGCGUAGCCGACCUGAGAGGGUGAUCGGCCACACUGGAACUGAGACACGGUCCAG